This 612-nucleotide ribosomal RNA is filed under the name uncultured bacterium. RNAcentral describes it as "bacterial SSU rRNA". It matches the Rfam family "Bacterial small subunit ribosomal RNA", at positions 8 to 612 of the family's 1533-position model. The record is from RNAcentral.
AGAGUUUGAUCAUGGCUCAGAUUGAACGCUGGCGGUAUGCUUAACACAUGCAAGUCGAACGGUAACAGGAAAAGCUUGCUUUUCGCUGACGAGUGGCGGACGGGUGCGUAAUGCGUAGGAAUCUGCCUAGUAGUGGGGGACAACUCGGAGAAAUUCGAGCUAAUACCGCAUAAGCCCUACGGGGGAAAACGGGGGAUCUUCUGACCUCGUGCUAUUAGAUGAGCCUACGUUAGAUUAGCUUGUUGGUGAGGUAAAAGCUCACCAAGGCGACGAUCUAUAGCUGGUCUGAGAGGAUGAUCAGCCACACUGGGACUGAGACACGGCCCAGACUCCUACGGGAGGCAGCAGUGGGGAAUAUUGGACAAUGGGCGAAAGCCUGGUCCAGCAAUACCGCGUGUGUGAAGAAGGCCUGAGGGUUGUAAAGCACUUUCAAUUGGGAGGAAUACCUAAUGGUUAAUAGCCAUUAGAUUGACAUUACCUUUAGAAGAAGCACCGGCUAACUCCGUGCCAGCAGCCGCGGUAAUACGGAGGGUGCAAGCGGUAAUCGGAAUUACUGGGCGUAAAGCGUUCGUAGGCGGUUUGUUAAGUUAGAUGUGAAAGCCCCGGGCUUAA